GACCACAAGGCUGGACUUGGAAUCAGAAAGACCAGGGUUCAGGUCCCUCCUGACCUUAGUUAUUUAACCCUGGUCAAGCCAUUUAACUUCUAUGCGCCUCCGGCAGUUUCCUGGUUCUUUCUACUGAGAGGUAGUAGUUGGUUGUAGAAAUUUCUCACACUAAGGCUAGGAAGAUAAUGCCAUUCUAAUGUGAUGUGGAGAUUUUUGAUAAAGCAAAUGGUUGGGAAACUCUCUUAGGUUGAAGCUAAUUCUUUUCAAAUGUGCAUUAUUGGGCAAUAGCUAAUGUUAUUAAUUCAUUUUUCAGCACUUUGUGUUUCUAAGUUAUUUUCCUCACCACAACCCCAGGGGAGAUCAUGUAUGAUACUCAUCUACAUAUCAUAGGUUGAGAAGUUGAGUCUUAGAGAUUAGAUAACUUCUCUAUACACACAGCUAAUAAUUGUUGGAACCAGGACUUGAGCUGAAGAUUUUCCUGGGAAGUAUCAUUUGGAUUCUGAAGGUGCCGAUUUAAUUUGUGCUUGUGCAAAGUCACCACUUAUAAUGGGCAGUUCUAAAGCUAAGUCAAAACAUCACUCUUUAGAUUUGACCUGGUGACUGUAUCAGUGGGUGUCAUUUAUCAGAAAUGGGAAAUUUCAUGUACAUCCUGCUUGCAUUUUCAGAAAACUGUUAAGGACUGCAAUUUUCAACUUGGGCCUGCAAGCUAAAAGCAAGCACUAUCCCUUAGAGUGGCUUUUAUCUUUCUUGAUUUUCUGGAGCUGCUGGUUUCCAACUACAAGUCUGUUGGAAAUGUAGUGAGGUGUGUAGGGGUGAAGGAAGCUGACCAUCAAUUUGUAAGUGGACUAAAAUGUAAAAAUCAGUAAAGCAAAUAAUUGUGCACCAAUGUGAAGGGGGAAGCCAUGAGGGGAUAAGGAGGUACUGGAUUAAAAAUACUGAACAGGAGAAAACUGCCUUCUGUAAGAUUUAUUUGUGACAGGUAAUUCAA
This 979-nucleotide long non-coding RNA is filed under the name Monodelphis domestica (gray short-tailed opossum). RNAcentral describes it as "lncRNA (ENSMODG00000040677.1)". The record is from RNAcentral. Lineage: Eukaryota; Metazoa; Chordata; Mammalia; Didelphimorphia; Didelphidae.